ACCUACAAAAAAAAGAUAAAAGCUAUUAAAAAUGGUGAAGCCAUCGGUGAUGACUUGCUAGGAUUGCUGUUGGAGUCAAAGACACGGGAAUCCAAUGGGAAAGCAGAUCUAGGAAUGAGUACCGAAGAAAUAAUCCAGGAAUGCAAGCUAUUUUACUUCGCAGGUAUGGAGACAACAUCAGUCUUGCUCACAUGGACACUAAUUCUGCUCAGCAUGCACCCAGAGCGGCAAGAGAAUGCAAGAGAUGAAAUGUUGCACUAUUUUGGAAGAACCGCACCUGAUUUCGAGCACUUGAGUCGCCUGAAGAUUGUAACAAUGAUUGACAUAGAGGCCUGGAUCUAGGUGCGCCUCCUCUCCCCCUUUGUUACACAAAGCUUUGCGUACAAUGCCUCCUGUAGAGUGAGCUAGCAUGGCAUGGACCAGGGAUUGGGGAGUACAACAUGGAAGAGAGAAUAUUCGGAGAGAAGCA
Long non-coding RNA from Lolium rigidum, 469 nucleotides. RefSeq lists it as uncharacterized. The transcript has 3 exons. The record is from RefSeq and is a predicted model, not a curated record. NCBI's taxonomy places the organism in Eukaryota, Viridiplantae, Streptophyta, Magnoliopsida, Poales, Poaceae.